Molecule: ribosomal RNA, 435 nt
Filed under: uncultured Armatimonadota bacterium
Lineage: Bacteria; Bacillati; Armatimonadota
Description: bacterial SSU rRNA
Rfam family: Bacterial small subunit ribosomal RNA
Source: RNAcentral
CGGUGGAGCAUGUUGUUUAAUACGUCACUAACCGUAGAGCCUUACCAGGGUUUGACAUGGCGUGCCCUCCUAUGAAAGUGCUCCCGGCACGAACAGGUGUGACGAGCGCAACCCUCAUCCCAUGUUGCCAGCAGGAUGUCAAGUAGCAUGGCCCUUACACCCUGGCUACAUACAUGGACGGUAAACAAGGGAUCCGAGACCGCGAGGUGGAGGCUCUCAGAAAUCCGUUCUCAGUUCGGAUUGCAGUGCAACUCGCCUGCAUGAAGCCGGAAUCGCUAGUAAACGAGGUCAGCUAAACUGCGUUGAAUACGUUCCCGGGCCUUGUACACACCGCCGUCACGUCACCUGAGUUGUCUGCACCCGAAGCCGGUGGGGUAACCGCAAGGAGCCAGCCGUCUAAGUGUGGGGAGUAAGGGGGACGAAGUCGUACAAGGU